RNAcentral lists this transfer RNA (78 nucleotides) under Camelus bactrianus (Bactrian camel). It matches the Rfam family "tRNA". Rfam says of the family: Transfer RNA (tRNA) molecules are approximately 80 nucleotides in length. Their secondary structure includes four short double-helical elements and three loops (D, anti-codon, and T loops). Lineage: Eukaryota; Metazoa; Chordata; Mammalia; Artiodactyla; Camelidae. The record is from Rfam by way of RNAcentral. RNAcentral also lists the same sequence under 2 other names.
GAGGGUGUAGCUCAGUGGAAGAGCACGUGCCUAGCAUGCACAAGGUCCUGGUCCUGGGUUCAAUCCCUAGUACCUCCA